RNAcentral lists this ribosomal RNA (300 nucleotides) under uncultured bacterium. RNAcentral describes it as "bacterial SSU rRNA". It matches the Rfam family "Bacterial small subunit ribosomal RNA", at positions 399 to 691 of the family's 1533-position model. The record is from RNAcentral.
GCGUGUGUGAAGAAGGCCCGAGGGUUGUAAAGCACUUUCAAUUGGGAAGAAAAGGGUUAGGUUAAUACCCUGACUCCUUGACGUUACCUUUAGAAGAAGCACCGGCUAACUCCGUGCCAGCAGCCGCGGUAAUACGGGGGGUGCAAGCGUUAAUCGGAAUCACUGGGCGUAAAGCGCGCGUAGGCGGCUCGUUAAGUCAGAUGUGAAAGCCCCGGGCUCAACUUGGGAAUUGCAUUUGAUACUGGCGAGCUAGAGUUUGGUAGAGGGAAGGGGAAUUCCGAGUGUAGCGGUGAAAUGCGU